Long non-coding RNA from Leopardus geoffroyi (Geoffroy's cat), 1785 nucleotides. RefSeq lists it as uncharacterized. The record is from RefSeq and is a predicted model, not a curated record. The transcript has 4 exons. Lineage: Eukaryota; Metazoa; Chordata; Mammalia; Carnivora; Felidae.
GAACAAAAGAUUUCCUGUAGCCACGGAGAGCCCUCCAGGACCCCACAUCCCCCCGAAUGGGGGUGUUCACACGCCUCACGAGUAGCAAAUGCAGCGCUGGCCGACGGUGAAAUACUGCCUCGCCUCUGAUUUGCCUUUUGCUUGUUGAGCCUCCCCAGUCGGCAGCCUGUGUUUUUCCCCCAGCAGCUUCGCUCCCUGUCUGCUUCCGCUUCAGGUGCUCGGCAGCCCCUUGGCUCUUCGCCGGCUCUUCCAGCUGGCAAGCAGCUUGCCCUGCGGACCCGGAGCAGCUAUGGCUCAGCCGGGACACGGCGGGUGGAAACUCCGCAGGCCCGAUCGGUUGUGUCCUUGGCUCGUUUAGGCUGCGACUUCAAAUACACCCACCCACCCUUCCAGCGCACAGAAAGCACAGCACCUGAUGGCCGCAGGAACUUGUACCAGACCCCAGGCUGCAUACUGUGACCCAUUCAGCUCAAGAUUUUAUCGGGCAGACAUUGCCAGGGUCUCUCAGUCUCUGACUCAGAUUACAGUUUAGAACACAACAUGGCAGGCCACGUCAAAUGGAGCCAAUCUUUGAACUAAGGAGAAGAGCGCUUCUGCACCUACCAGGAAAUGAAAGGAAAGCAGGAGUGCCUACUUUUCUGGAAAACCCAUUCAUUCAUUCAGUAAAUAUUCAUUGGACACCUGCUAUGUGUCAGCCAUUGUGCUACACUGUGGGAAUACAGCAGUGGACAAGACAUAGGUGGCCCUGAGCUCUUGGCAUUCAGUGAAGGAAAGCCAGAUACCAACUUGCACCGUGACCGGGAGCCCUGUACUCAGAGGACAUCUGGCUAUAGCACUGUUGACCUUUCUAAUUUCAGCCUACAGGUACCCCGGGGUGCAUUGAAGGAGGUCGUCCAUGCGCAGAAGGCUGAUGGGUCUGCACGAAGACAUGGGCUCUGAGUCUCUCCUGAUGAAGGGGAGGUGGGUUGCAUGUUGACCACAUGCACACCCCCCGGGUGCAGAAGGAGAGUCAGCUGGUUUGGGCUCGAGUGCCAGAGGGGGAAGUUUCUUGCCUGCAGGGUGGUCAGGGUGACCCAUCCUCUGUGGGCUCCCUUUGUGGGUAGCUUUCCCAGGCUCAGCCCCCAAGAGAGUUCAACCUCUCUUAGUCUUGAAGAGAUGCAGACAUGCUUCCCCUUUCCUUCCUGCGUCUCUCAGAAGGACAGAGACAGAGAGAUGAAGACCCAUCAGAGGCUGACUCUGUAUAGACUACCAGGGGACUUGGUGGGAACAGAGCAGGCUCAGACCCCUCCCUGGGCUCCAGUGGGCUUGUGGUUGGCAGGUAGCAUGUGGAUGCUGUUUCCGUCGCAGGCCUGGAGGGAGUCCCUGCCGGGUUGAAGAGUGGGAGAGCCCAGCCCUCCUUCUGGCUACCCCGAGGUCCAUCUCUGCAGCCUUUAACAGGCUUCCACAUGUUUCUUUUUUCCGUCUUAUAAGCCCUUGGGAUUUGGCCCACUUGUGUCUCAUUUCCAAAUUCUCCCUCUCCUGGAGCUGUCUUCAAAGGCGGCUGCGUCGUUUCCAUCAACCCUCCUUCCUUGUUCUCACUGAAAUAAGUGCACAGUGUUUUUCAUUUUUAAGAACUUUUUACAGUUAGUGUCUCCAUGGAGAUGACACAAGUAACAAAUAUGCGGAUAGGAACACAGACUCAAGAAAUAGCAGUUGAGGGGCGCCUGGGUGGCUCAGUCCGUUAAGCGUCCGACUUCAGCUCAGGUCACGAUCUCGCGGUCCGUGAGUUCGAGCCCCGCGUUGGGC